GGAUGUGUGCUAGUGUUAGAGGGUUUCCGCCCUUUAGUGCUGAAGUUAACGCAUUAAGCACUCCGCCUGGGGAGUACGGCCGCAAGGCUGAAACUCAAAGGAAUUGACGGGGGCCCGCACAAGCGGUGGAGCAUGUGGUUUAAUUCGAAGCAACGCGAAGAACCUUACCAGGUCUUGACGUCCUCUGACAACCCUAGAGAUAGGGCUUCUCCUUCGGGAGCAGAGUGACAGGUGGUGCAUGGUUGUCGUCAGCUCGUGUCGUGAGAUGUUGGGUUAAGUCCCGCAACGAGCGCAACCCUUGAUCUUAGUUGCCAUCAUUCAGUUGGGCACUCUAAGGGGACUGCCGGUGACAAACCGGAGGAAGGAGGGGAUGACGUCAAAUCAUCAUGCCCCUUAUGACCUGGGCUACACACGUGCUACAAUGGACGGAACAAAGAGCUGCAAGACCGCGAGGUGGAGCUAAUCUCAUAAAACCGUUCUCAGAUCGGAUUGUAGGCUGCAACUCGCCUACAUGAAGCUGGAAUCGCUAGUAAUCGCGGAUCAGCAUGCCGCGGAGAAUACGUUCCCGGGCCUUGUACACACCGCCCGUCACACCACGAGAGUUUGUAACACCCGAAGUCGGUGGGGUAACCUUUUGGAACCAGCCGGCUAAGGUGGGACAGAUGAUUGGGGUAAAGUCGUAACAAAGGAACCGG
This 695-nucleotide ribosomal RNA is filed under the name Bacillus pacificus. RNAcentral describes it as "bacterial SSU rRNA". It matches the Rfam family "Bacterial small subunit ribosomal RNA", at positions 807 to 1503 of the family's 1533-position model. The record is from RNAcentral. Lineage: Bacteria; Bacillati; Bacillota; Bacilli; Caryophanales; Bacillaceae.